GGGUUGGAGAGGAGAGAUGGGUUUUCUUGGUUUGGUUCUUUAUCCAUGUUUUCUCUCCAUUCUGUGGGUUUACCUAUGUUGUUUAGCUGCUAACAUGAAGUGAGACCUCAAGAAGUUAAAGUGAGAUGAGAGAGAGAGAGAGAGAAAUCUAGAGGGAGAAAAAAUAGGGUAGUGCUAGUGGCCUAAUGGGUAAAGAAACAAGUAUUUUGAGGAGAAACUGAGAAACUAUUCGAUACAAUAUCUAACCUAUCCGGUAGAAUUGCAGAUAAACGAACCAAGCUAUUUGAAUUCGAACAUAUUUUUAUUCAUUAAAAGUUCAUUUAGCUAGGAUUAAUUUGUUAUACGAACAAGUCGAGCUUAAAUAUUUUUUUCAUAAUCGUUAAACUUUUUAAACCAAGCUUCAACAUAGCUAUUACUUGCAACAAUUAACUUUAGGAUGCGUAAAAAACUCAAACUACUCAGAGUCCGCUCAAUUAAGCUUGAUUUAUGAUUGACUUGCUUAAUAAAUAGUUCAAGUUUAAAAAUAUUUACUAUACUUAUUAAGUUUUUAACUCAAGCUUGAACAAUUAACCACUUAGUUCGUUUCUCAACCAUAAUCCUAUCAUGUGGCAUUCGACGAAUUUUGAAAUUGUGCUAGUUAUAUUUGAGUUUAAUUAGAUUCCUCUGGUUCAUGUUGUAGUUUAUCGGUAAAUUGUAAUAGCCAGAGGUAGUGAUGAUGAUGUAAUCCCGU
Molecule: long non-coding RNA, 730 nt
Organism: Rhododendron vialii
Lineage: Eukaryota; Viridiplantae; Streptophyta; Magnoliopsida; Ericales; Ericaceae
Exons: 2
Source: RefSeq, a predicted model, not a curated record